Molecule: ribosomal RNA, 468 nt
Filed under: uncultured bacterium
Lineage: Bacteria
Description: partial 16S ribosomal RNA
Rfam family: Bacterial small subunit ribosomal RNA
Source: RNAcentral
GAUGAACGCUGGCGGCGUGCUUAACACAUGCGAGUCGAACGGUGAAGGCGGAGCUUGCUCUGCUGGAUCAGUGGCGAACGGGUGAGUAACACGUGAGCAAUCUGCCCCUGACUCUGGGAUAAGCGCUGGAAACGGCGUCUAAUACUGGAUACGAGCUGCGAAGGCAUCUUCAGCAGCUGGAAAGAAUUUCGGUCAGGGAUGAGCUCGCGGCCUAUCAGCUUGUUGGUGAGGUAAUGGCUCACCAAGGCGUCGACGGGUAGCCGGCCUGAGAGGGUGACCGGCCCCACUGGGACUGAGACACGGCCCAGACUCCGACGGGAGGCAGCGGUGGGGAGUAUUGCGCAGUGGGCGAGAGCCUGAUGCAGCGGCGCCGCGUGAGGGACGACGGCCUUCGGGUUGUAAACCUCUUUUAGCAGGGAAGAAGCGAAAGUGACGGUACCUGCAGAAAAAGCGCCGGCUAACUACGUG